This is a small nucleolar RNA of Scleropages formosus (Asian bonytongue), 100 nucleotides long. Its record names the gene SNORD16. It matches the Rfam family "Small nucleolar RNA SNORD16". Rfam says of the family: U16 is a member of the C/D class of snoRNA which contain the C (UGAUGA) and D (CUGA) box motifs. U81 acts as a guanine methylation guide and is found in an intron of ribosomal proteins L1 gene in animals. NCBI's taxonomy places the organism in Eukaryota, Metazoa, Chordata, Actinopteri, Osteoglossiformes, Osteoglossidae. The record is from Ensembl.
UACGGUGAUGGUGUAAUUUGCGUCUUACUUUGUGAAUGGCGACAGUUGCCUGCUGUCUUGAUGCCAUCACAAGAGGUUGACGAAAAUAUGAUUCUGAGUA